CCUACGGGUGGCUGCAGUGGGGAAUAUUGCUCAAUGGGGGAAACCCUGAUGCAGCGACGCCGCGUGAGGGAAGAAGUACUUCGUUACGUAAAGCCCUAUUAGUAGGGAAGAAAAUGACGGUACCUGAGUAAGAAGCCCCGGCUAACUACGUGCCAGCAGCCGCGGUAAUACGUAGGGGGCAAGCGUUAUCCGGAUUUACUGGGUGUAACGGGAUCGUAGACGGGACGCCAAGGCUGGUGUGAAAUGCCGGGGCUUAAAUGUGGAACUGCUUUGGAAACUGGCGAACUAGAGUGCGGGAGGGGUAAGCGGAAUUCCUGGUGUAGCGGUGAAAUGCGUAGAGAUUAGGAGGAACACCGAUGGCGAAGGCGGCUUACUGGAACAUAACUGACGUUGAGGCUCGAAAGCGUGGGGAGCAAACAGGAUUAGAUACCCUUGUAGUC
Molecule: ribosomal RNA, 440 nt
Filed under: uncultured bacterium
Lineage: Bacteria
Description: partial 16S ribosomal RNA
Rfam family: Bacterial small subunit ribosomal RNA
Source: RNAcentral